RNAcentral lists this ribosomal RNA (278 nucleotides) under uncultured bacterium. RNAcentral's name for it is "partial 16S ribosomal RNA". It matches the Rfam family "Bacterial small subunit ribosomal RNA", at positions 29 to 334 of the family's 1533-position model. The record is from RNAcentral.
AACGAACGCUGGCGGCAGGCUUAACACAUGCAAGUCGAACGAUCUCUUCGGAGAUAGUGGCAGACGGGUGAGUAACGCGUGGGAAUCUACCCAACUCUACGGAAUAACAGUUAGAAAUGACUGCUAAUACCGUAUACGCCCUUCGGGGGAAAGAUUUAUCGGAGUAGGAUGAGCCCGCGUUGGAUUAGCUAGUUGGUGAGGUAAUGGCUCACCAAGGCGACGAUCUAUAGCUGGUCUGAGAGGAUGAUCAGCCACACUGGGACUGAGACACGGCCCAG